Molecule: non-coding RNA, 21 nt
Filed under: Arabidopsis thaliana (thale cress)
Lineage: Eukaryota; Viridiplantae; Streptophyta; Magnoliopsida; Brassicales; Brassicaceae
Source: RNAcentral
UCAUGGGGCCAUGACGACUAC